GGUCCUAUGGUGUAGUGGCAGCACAUGGGAUUUUGAUAAGUGCUGCGUCGUAGAUUCCCACAACCCAGGUUCGAACCCUGGUAGGACCU
Molecule: transfer RNA, 89 nt
Filed under: Armillaria solidipes
Lineage: Eukaryota; Fungi; Basidiomycota; Agaricomycetes; Agaricales; Physalacriaceae
Rfam family: tRNA
About the family: Transfer RNA (tRNA) molecules are approximately 80 nucleotides in length. Their secondary structure includes four short double-helical elements and three loops (D, anti-codon, and T loops).
Source: Rfam by way of RNAcentral